UACGUAGGGUGCGAGCGUUGUCCGGAAUUAUUGGGCGUAAAGAGCUUGUAGGCGGUUUGUCGCGUCUGCUGUGAAAAUCCGGGGCUCAACCCCGGACUUGCAGUGGGUACGGGCAGACUAGAGUGUGGUAGGGGAGACUGGAAUUCCUGGUGUAGCGGUGAAAUGCGCAGAUAUCAGGAGGAACACCGGUGGCGAAGGCGCUGCUCUGGGCCGAAACUGACGCUGAGGAGCGAAAGCGUGGGUAGCAAACAGG
Molecule: ribosomal RNA, 253 nt
Filed under: uncultured bacterium
Lineage: Bacteria
Description: partial 16S ribosomal RNA
Rfam family: Bacterial small subunit ribosomal RNA
Source: RNAcentral